This 433-nucleotide ribosomal RNA is filed under the name uncultured bacterium. Its description in RNAcentral is "partial 16S ribosomal RNA". It matches the Rfam family "Bacterial small subunit ribosomal RNA", at positions 29 to 507 of the family's 1533-position model. The record is from RNAcentral.
AACGAACGCUGGCGGCAUGCCUAACACAUGCAAGUCGAACGAGACCUUCGGGUCUAGUGGCGCACGGGUGCGUAACGCGUGGGAACCUGCCCUUAGGUUCGGAAUAACUCCCCGAAAGGGGUGCUAAUACCGGAUAAUGUCUUCGGACCAAAGAUUUAUCGCCGUUGGAUGGGCCCGCGUUGGAUUAGCUGGUUGGUAGGGUAAAAGCCUACCAUGGCGACGAUCCAUAGCUGGUCGGAGAGGAUGAUCAGCCACACUGGGACUGAGACACGGCCCAGACUCCUGCGGGAGGAAGGAGUGGGGAAUAUUGGAGAAUGGGCGAAAGCCUGAGCCAGCAAUGCCGCGUGAGGGAUGAAGGCCUUAGGGUUGUAAAGCUCUUUUACCCGGGAUGAUAAUGACAGGACCGGGAGAAUAAGCCCCGGCUAACUCCGUG